CCUGGUUUUCUCUGGUGCAUAGAUUAACGCUUUGAAUUUGUGUCUAGCACCAUUUGAAAUCAGUUU
RNAcentral lists this microRNA precursor (66 nucleotides) under Capitella teleta. RNAcentral describes it as "Cte-Mir-29-P2_pre stem-loop". The record is from RNAcentral. Lineage: Eukaryota; Metazoa; Annelida; Polychaeta; Capitellidae.